Molecule: long non-coding RNA, 426 nt
Organism: Lonchura striata (white-rumped munia)
Lineage: Eukaryota; Metazoa; Chordata; Aves; Passeriformes; Estrildidae
Source: RefSeq, a predicted model, not a curated record
GCGCGGCGGCGGCGCUAAGAUGGCUGCGGCGGCGGCGCGGCGGCCCGUACCUGUUUUCUCCUUGAUCUCGCAGAGGACGCUGAACAGGGCGGGUUUCAUCCUGUGGCAGUUCAGGGCGUGUUUCCUGCAAGAGAGCACAGGACAAGCGCAGUAUCUGGUCAGAUUUAUAAUUCAUCUGCUGCCGCUCUGAGACAAGAAAAGAAAGAAAGAGGCAAAGUUGUACUUUGAGGGAUGGCCGGACGGACAGACGGAUGGACGGCGGCGCAAAGGCCGGUAUCCACCGGGCAGCGUCCAGCGGGAACGGGCAGGGACCAGCCACAGCCUCCCGCGCACCACACCGACGGCAGAGCCAUCGCAUACUUCUACAUUUAUCAUAGCUUUUUUUUUUUUAAGGAAAGAAAUCAUUAAAUAGCAACUUGGCUCUGC